Molecule: ribosomal RNA, 460 nt
Filed under: uncultured bacterium
Lineage: Bacteria
Description: partial 16S ribosomal RNA
Rfam family: Bacterial small subunit ribosomal RNA
Source: RNAcentral
CCUACGGGCGGCAGCAGUGAGGAAUAUUGGUCAAUGGGCGUAAGCCUGAACCAGCCAAGUCGCGUGAGGGAUGAAGGUUCUAUGGAUCGUAAACCUCUUUUAUAAGGGAAUAAAGUGUGGGACGUGUCCUGUUUUGUAUGUACCUUAUGAAUAAGGAUCGGCUAACUCCGUGCCAGCAGCCGCGGUAAUACGGAGGAUCCGAGCGUUAUCCGGAUUUAUUGGGUUUAAAGGGUGCGUCGGCGGCCUUUUAAGUCAGCGGUGAAAGUUUGUGGCUCAACCAUAGAAUUGCCGUUGAAACUGGGAGGCUUGAGUAUGUUUGAGGCAGGCGGAAGGCGUGGUGUAGCGGUGAAAUGCUUAGAUAUCACGCAGAACCCCGAUUGCGAAGGCAGCCUGCCAAGCCAUGACUGACGCUGAUGCACGAAAGCGUGGGGAUCAAACAGGAUUAGAUACCCCUGUAGUC